GUUGCACGAGUGCACGAGAACAUUUUCUAGAAGCCUCCCAAGUGAUAUGAAUGGAUCCACAAAUUUGAAUUCCUUGUCUGCUUAAGCCAAGCAAGAAUGAAGUCAGCUGCAAGAAAGAGGCACAAGGGUGCAGAAAAGGCUGAGCCAGCACACCAAAUGUGGCUGAAAUAUGAUGGUCACACAGCUCAG
This is a long non-coding RNA of Pseudopodoces humilis (Tibetan ground-tit), 189 nucleotides long. RefSeq lists it as uncharacterized. The record is from RefSeq and is a predicted model, not a curated record. Lineage: Eukaryota; Metazoa; Chordata; Aves; Passeriformes; Paridae.